This 497-nucleotide ribosomal RNA is filed under the name uncultured bacterium. RNAcentral's name for it is "partial 16S ribosomal RNA". It matches the Rfam family "Bacterial small subunit ribosomal RNA", at positions 28 to 507 of the family's 1533-position model. The record is from RNAcentral.
GAUGAACGCUGGCGGCGUGCCUAAUACAUGCAAGUCGAGCGAACAGACGAGGAGCUUGCUCCUCUGACGUUAGCGGCGGACGGGUGAGUAACACGUGGAUAACCUACCUAUAAGACUGGGAUAACUUCGGGAAACCGGAGCUAAUACCGGAUAAUAUAUUGAACCGCAUGGUUCAAUAGUGAAAGACGGUUUUGCUGUCACUUAUAGAUGGAUCCGCGCCGCAUUAGCUAGUUGGUAAGGUAACGGCUUACCAAGGCAACGAUGCGUAGCCGACCUGAGAGGGUGAUCGGCCACCCUGGAACUGAGACACGGUCGCGACUCCUACGGGAGGCAGCAGCGGGGACUCUUACGCAAUGGGCGAAAGCCUGACGGAGCAACGCCGCGUGAGUGAUGAAGGUCUUCGGAUCGUAAAACUCUGUUAUUAGGGAAGAACAAAUGUGUAAGUAACUAUGCACGUCUUGACGGUACCUAAUCAGAAAGCCACGGCUAACUCCGUG